GCUGCAGACGGAGCCCAAAGCGAAGAGGUGGGCGACGACGUUGGGGAAAGUUUCUGUCCGUUGGAGCUUGUGGAUGUGGCUGCUGUUGAGGUCGAGAUGGUUGUUGAUGCUGAAGAAGCCGCCGCGGCCGCCGCCGCUCCAAAGAAACGACAAGCCAGCCGCAGCCCGGGAGGAGUGACUGACAGCGUCCACGCCAAUUAGAACCCCAGAUACAACCUGGACUCGCACCAUCCUUCUCCAACAGAACAGAGCUGGGUAGGAUUGACAUUGACAUUAUCCUAUCGUGGCGAAAAAGGAUGGGCUGCUCCACGUUCUGCUCUCCUCACCCGAUUAGCUCUUUGCACGCUGCCUCGCCUCUUUCCUGCAAUAAUUGUCAGCCUCGUCCUCCAGCCAGGAGGCCGGAACUCUAGACCCUCCCCUGCCAUUUGCUAUUCGAACAACAUUACUGGGCUUUCCAAAGGGGUGCCGUUUGACUGACGCUUCCUUCAUUCAAUCGCCUGCCCCGUCCCGGGCCGCGUUCUCCGGGCCCGGAGUGCGUGAGCUCGUGAUUGGCAUCUAAACUCAACCUGUCCUUUCAGCCCAAGGUUUGUCUGCUGCUGGGGCUCUUUUUACUCAUUGGUUGUAUUUCAGCUGAUCGCAGGGAUAUUUGCAUCUUUUACCCGUUUGUCUUGCAUUAUAAUUUUGCUCUGUUGAUGUUGAAAUAAGUUAACUUUUUCGGUAGACCUGUCAGUUGCUAUUAACCCAGCUGAGAACGAGCCCUUGCAUUUGUGCAUACGUCUCGAUAGACCUAGCUGUGAAAUUGUGUGUUAUUGUUCCGCUUGAGUUGUAUUUUUUUUAGGAUAUCGCGAUAGUCCUUUUCAAAUCACGAAAGUGAAGCCGCAACAGAUGUUGACCAUGCUUUCUCAAAAAUGGCGAGGCGCAUAAUUGAAGCGUGCCUCCUUCUCAAGAUCCUCUGCUUGCUGACAUUUAGGAUUUCAGAACCAGCCAGUUUAAAAUGUAAUAUUCAUAAAAAUUGUAAUGGGUGAGAUCGGACAGGAUCAAAUGGAAAAGUAAACGGGUUUUUCUCAAGCAUAAUUGUACAUUUAAUGCUGUGUACUUCUUCAUUUGUAAUUGAAGGCCGGAGUAGAAUCCAAUUUCAAUUGAAUAGAUGAAUGACGUCGGCCGUCCAAUCUGCCAGUGGGACGUGGAGGUCAAUUUCAAGCAGAAGUCUCGAUUUAUGGAUAUCUAGUCGGCACGGACUAGAAGGGUCGAGAUGGCCUGUUUCCGUGCUGUAAUUGUUAUAUGGUUAUAUUAUAGGAAUCACGGUAUAGGGAGAGGGGUGAUCAAGCAAAUGUCGCGGUAGAAGAUCGAGGGGGCGCAAGGCCUACUACCACUGUUUCUCGUUGUGUACGCUUUUCUGGAGAUGGUGCACCAACUUCAGCACAUCACUGUGGGGAGGAAUUUUGCCAUUGCCAAUAUACCAACCCUUGUAUUUGUUGUGCAGUUGUGUUUUCAUUGUGCAAUAUGUGAUUCCCAAAGUAUUGUAGUUGUGCAAUUUGACAAAUACAACUUGAAAUCUAGCUUGAAUAUAUACUCUCCAACCUCCUCUCUGUCCCCACUCCACAUGCAGCCAUGUCCCAACCUGACAGGUAAUAUCCUGACUAGUGUGUUCCCAAGCAGUCCUCACAGGAUAACCAUUUUAGUUUAGUUUUUAUUAUUGUCAUGUGUACCAAGGUACAGUGAAAAGUUUUUUUGUUGCAUGCUAUCUAGUCAACAAAAAGACUACAUUAUUACAUUCAAGCCAUCCACCGUGUACAGAUACAGGUUUAAAGGGUAUCAUGUUUAGUGCAAUUAAAGAUAGUUCAAAGGUCUCCAAUGAGAUAGAUGGGAGGUCAGGCCUGUACUCUAGCUGGUGAGAGGACGUUUCUAUUGCCUGAUAGCAGCUAGGAAGAAACUGCCCCUGAAUCUGGAGGUAGACAAAAAUGCUGGAGAAACUCGGCGGGUGCAGCAGCAUCUAUGGAGCGAAGGAAAUAGGCAACGUUUCAGGCCAAAACCCUACUUCAUCUGGAGGUAUCUGUUUUCACAUUCUGUACCUCUUACCUGAUGGGAGAGGAGGGAAGAGGGAGUGUCCAGCGUGAGAUUAGUCCUUUAUUAGGCUGGUGGCCUUGCCGAGGCAGCAUUAAGUGCAGAUGGAGUUCUUGGAGGGAAGGUAGAUUUGCCUGAUGGUCUGGGCUACAUCCAUAACUCUGUAAUUUCUUGUGGUCUUGGAUGAAGCUGUUCCCAAACCGUGCAGUGAUGCAUCCCGAUUAGAUGAUUUCUACAGCGCAUCUGUAGAAGUUGGUGAAGGUUGUUGGGAACCUGCUGAACUUCCUAAGCCUUCUAAGUUAAUAGAGGCAUUGGUGUGCUUUCUUGGCCAUAGCUUUGAUGUGGCUUGUCCAGGACAAAUUGCUGGUGAUACUUAUUCCUAAGAACUUGAAGCGUUUGACCAUCUUUACUUUGGCGCUAUGAAUGUAUCACGUAGAAUGUGUACUGCUUUGCUUCCAGAAGUCGGUAAUUACUGCACACUCCCUGUAAAGGUAGAAUAUUCUAAGGAAGGAUUUAAUUUUAGACCUUUAAAAAUGUAAAUACCAUCUUGGAUGUUGAGCAUUGCAGAAUUUUGCAGCAGCAAGGCCUUAAAAGAAACACAUGACCAUUACCAAUUUAAACAAAAGGAUUAUGCAGAUACCCCAGUCCUUUUUCACCAGGAGAAGCAACUCAGCAGGUUAGGUGACAUAUGUGGAGGGCAGACUAAUUUCUGGUUUGGGACCCUUCAGACUGACUGGAGGAGUGGAGGGAAACAUAGAAAAGACGUGGGGGGUGGGACAAAGCCUGGCAAGUGAAAGAAAGGUGGAUACAGGUGAAUGGGGUGAUAGGCAGCUGGGGGAAGUGACAAUGGCUAGAUAUGAAAAUAAAACAAAAGAGUGACAGAAGAGGAGCAAUUAAAUGUAAAGCUGGAGCGAGGGAUAUGAUUCGAAGGAGACAGGGGGAAGAGGGAAAUAUGGGGAGUAAAAAGGAAAUGGGAGACUCGGUGAGAGAUAAGUGUAGGGAAGGGAACAGGGUGCCUGUGAGGGGUAGUAGAUGGUGGGAGAAAUGUGCGGAGAGGAAAAAUAUUACUUUAAAUUGGAGAAUUCAAUGUUGAUAAGCAACCCAAGCAAUAUGAGGUCCUGUAACCAGUUUGUUUGGGCUUUCACUCUGGCAAAGGAGGUAGCCAAGGACAGAAAUGUCAGUAUGAGAAUAUAGAACAGUACAGCACAGGAACAGACCAUUCAGCCCACGAUGCCUGUGGUGAACAAGAUGCCAAGCCCAUCUCUUAUCUGCCUGCACGUAAUCCAUAUCCCUCCAUUUCAUGCACAUCCAUCUAAAAGUCCCUUGAACGUUAUUAUCAUAUCUACCUCGUCAUCUCUGGACAAGGACACUAAAGACUACUAUUUAUUGACUAUAGCUUUGCCUUCAGCAUGAUUAACUCAUCCAAACUCAUCUCCAAACUAUAGGAGUUAGCACCUCCUGUCUGCCACUGGUUCCUUGACUCUCUAUUCCAUGGACCACAAUCAUCCUCCACAAUAAUUCUCAACACUGGUACUCCACAGGGAUGCUUUCUCAGCCCUUUACUAUAAUCCCUAUACACGUUCAAACUGCAAUUAAUUUCUCUCUAACUCCAUUACAGGUAUGCAGAUGAUGCCACUGUAGUAGGUCGAAUCUUGAACAAAGAUGAGAUGUAGUACGGGAAGGAGAUGGAGAUCUUGGUAACAUGAUGUCAAGACAAAGUCAGCAAGACAAAGGAGCUAGUUAUUAAUUUCAGGAAGCAAUUGGAGCACAUGCCCCAAUCAAUGAUAAUGAUGACGGUGGAACCGGUCAGAAGCUGCAAAUAUCUAGGCAUAAAUAUUUCCAGCAAUCUAUCUUGGGCCAAUCAAGUUCAAGCUAUGGCCAAAAUAAGCACAUCAAUGCCUACUUCCUCAGAAGACUAAGAAAGUUUGGCAUAUCACCAUCAACUCUUACCAACUUCUCCAGAUGCACCAUAGAAAGCUUACUAACAGGUUGCACCACAGCUUGGUUUGAGAACUGCAGUGUCCAAGACGGCAACAAAUUACAGAAAGUUUUUGAAUGUAGUCUAGCCAAUAAGACAGGUCAGACAGUCCACCAUUGUUUCCAUGUGUAGGAAGAUGCUGUUUUAAACUGAAGAUAGACACAAAAAGCUAGAGUAACUCAGCAGGGCAAUAGCAUCUCUGGAGAGAAGGAAUGUGUGAUGUUUCGGGUUGAGACGCUUCUUCAGUCUGACAAUAUACAUAUCACUUGCCAGGUUUUAUCCCACUUCCAACACACUUUUCUGGCUUCUCCUCCCUACUCCAAUCAGUUUUAAAGAAGAGUUGUGACUUGAAACGCUGACUGCGAUUCCCUCCACAGAUGUUACCUGACCUGCUGAGUUUCUCCAUCUGCACGACUCUAGCAUCUGCAAUUUUUUGUAUUUCUUCGUUCAUCGGGAUGGAGUGAAAAGUUAUGUCUCAUUUGGGAUUGAGGCACUGUGGGAAUUAAAAUUCAGACAUUAUAUUCCAAAGGAGAAAAUAUAUAACUGAAAGUUUAACAUACAAUAACAUAAAAAUUAAGGCAGAAAAGCAUAUAGACAAUAGACAAUGGGUGUAGUAGUAGGCCAUUCGGCCCUUCAAGCUAGCAUUGCCAUUCAUUGUGAUCAUGGCUAAUCAGCCACAAUCAGUAACCCGUUCCUGCCUUCUCCCCAUAUCCCCUGACUCCGCUAUCUUGAGCCCUAUCUAGCUCUUUCUUGAAAGUAUCCAGAAAACCGGCUUCCACCGUCCUCUGAGGUAGAGAAUUCCAGACUCACUACUCUGUGUAAAAACAAGGGUAUCAUCAUCUCUGUUCUAAAUGGCUUACCCCUUAUUCUUAAACUGUGGACCCUGGUUCUGUGUGCCACUCAUGUUAUGAGUCAUACUGUAGCUCCGCCCACUGGUUUAAUAGAAAGCCUGUUUUCCCUUUCUUCCCCAGUCUAGAGUUAUGUGUUAAGAUGAAGUUACCUAUGCUGUAUUGCUAAUAAAAGUCUUUGGAUCUCAA
Leucoraja erinaceus (little skate) is the source of this 5079-nucleotide long non-coding RNA. RefSeq lists it as uncharacterized. The transcript has 2 exons. The record is from RefSeq and is a predicted model, not a curated record. Lineage: Eukaryota; Metazoa; Chordata; Chondrichthyes; Rajiformes; Rajidae.